UCAUCAGUUGCAAAUGGGAAAUUAAGACUC
Molecule: non-coding RNA, 30 nt
Filed under: Mus musculus (house mouse)
Lineage: Eukaryota; Metazoa; Chordata; Mammalia; Rodentia; Muridae
Source: RNAcentral